Molecule: ribosomal RNA, 488 nt
Filed under: uncultured Glomeromycotina
Lineage: Eukaryota; Fungi; Glomeromycota
Description: SSU rRNA
Rfam family: Eukaryotic small subunit ribosomal RNA
Source: RNAcentral
AGCAGCCGCGGUAAUUCCAGCUCCAAUAGCGUAUAUUAAAGUUGCUGCAGUUAAAAAGCUCGUAGUUGAAUUUCGGGACCAAUAUGUCGGUCGUGCCUCGGUACGUACUGGCAUCGUUGGUUUCUCCCUUCUGACGAACCAUGAUGUCAUUCAUUUGGUGUCGUGGGGAAUCAGGACUGUUACUUUGAAAAAAUUAGAGUGUUUAAAGCAGGCUCACGCUUGGAUACAUUAGCAUGGAAUAAUGAAAUAGGACGUUUGAUUCUAUUUUGUUGGUUUCUAGGAUCGACGUAAUGAUUAAUAGGGAUAGUUGGGGGCAUUAGUAUUCAAUUGUCAGAGGGGAAAUUCUUGGAUUUAUUGAAGACUAACUACUGCGAAAGCAUUUGCCGAAGGAUGCUUUCUUUAAUCUAGAACGAAAGUUAGGGGAUCGAAGACGAUCUGAUACCGUCGUAGUCUUACUAUAACUUUGCCGACUUAGGAUCGGAUGAUGU